CGCACCUUGCGCCCCGUGGUAAUCCGCGGGGCAUGCCUGUUUGAGUGUCACGUGAAACCUCACCCCACGGGAUGUUACAGUCUCGCGGUGGUGGAAUUGGACCGUGCCGGGAGAUCGGCUCGUCCUGAAAUGCAUUAGCCUGGUCGGUGGACCGCAGUGGCCGUGGUGUGAUAAUCUAUCUGCGCCUGUAAGUGCUCUGUGAAACCGCCUUGAUCGGCUCAUAAUCGUCCCUCUGUGGGACAAUUACUUGACAGUUUGGCCUCAAAUCAGGUAGGACUACCCGCUGAACUUAA
Molecule: unclassified non-coding RNA, 293 nt
Filed under: Auriculariales sp.
Lineage: Eukaryota; Fungi; Basidiomycota; Agaricomycetes; Auriculariales
Description: partial contains 5.8S ribosomal RNA, internal transcribed spacer 2, and large subunit ribosomal RNA
Source: RNAcentral